RNAcentral lists this ribosomal RNA (706 nucleotides) under Rhodococcus zopfii. Its description in RNAcentral is "bacterial SSU rRNA". It matches the Rfam family "Bacterial small subunit ribosomal RNA", at positions 60 to 779 of the family's 1533-position model. The record is from RNAcentral. Lineage: Bacteria; Bacillati; Actinomycetota; Actinomycetes; Mycobacteriales; Nocardiaceae.
AGUCGAACGAUGAAGCCCAGCUUGCUGGGUGGAUUAGUGGCGAACGGGUGAGUAACACGUGGGUGAUCUGCCCUGCACUUCGGGAUAAGCCUGGGAAACUGGGUCUAAUACCGGAUAUGACCAAGGACUGCAUGGUUUUUGGUGGAAAGGUUUACUGGUGCAGGAUGAGCCCGCGGCCUAUCAGCUUGUUGGUGGGGUAAUGGCCUACCAAGGCGACGACGGGUAGCCGGCCUGAGAGGGCGACCGGCCACACUGGGACUGAGACACGGCCCAGACUCCUACGGGAGGCAGCAGUGGGGAAUAUUGCACAAUGGGCGAAAGCCUGAUGCAGCGACGCCGCGUGAGGGAUGACGGCCUUCGGGUUGUAAACCUCUUUCAGCAGGGACGAAGCGCAAGUGACGGUACCUGCAGAAGAAGCACCGGCCAACUACGUGCCAGCAGCCGCGGUAAUACGUAGGGUGCGAGCGUUGUCCGGAAUUACUGGGCGUAAAGAGCUCGUAGGCGGUUUGUCGCGUCGUCUGUGAAAACCCGCAGCUCAACUGCGGGCUUGCAGGCGAUACGGGCAGACUUGAGUACUGCAGGGGAGACUGGAAUUCCUGGUGUAGCGGUGAAAUGCGCAGAUAUCAGGAGGAACACCGGUGGCGAAGGCGGGUCUCUGGGCAGUAACUGACGCUGAGGAGCGAAAGCGUGGGUAGCGAACAGGAUU